Homalodisca vitripennis (glassy-winged sharpshooter) is the source of this 425-nucleotide long non-coding RNA. RefSeq lists it as uncharacterized. NCBI's taxonomy places the organism in Eukaryota, Metazoa, Arthropoda, Insecta, Hemiptera, Cicadellidae. The record is from RefSeq and is a predicted model, not a curated record. The transcript is spliced from 2 exons.
GAAUCCCACUGAGAUGUCCCAAACUCCAUAAAAACAGCAUCAAACAAUAACUUUUCUUUAUACCUGGGCUCAUUUUUCAAGACAUCUUGUUUUAAAGAGGAUCUCUUCUGCAGUAACUGUCAGCCUCCAUUGGCAGUUGCUUGUUCUAUCACCAGGAUCCCUUGGAGCCUUCUGCUAAAUCUGUCAGCUUGGACAUGUGCAGGCAAGCUGAAUACAACAGGAAAGAACAAAUAAAACUAUAACUUUUUGGUCUUUUAAAGGACAGGUUGUCAGGGUGGUGAACAGUUCAUGCUACACAGCUCACAUGAUUGUCAAACGGCAUCUGACAGCAGCAUCGAUUCUGUGCCAUAUUCAUAAUAAGUUCAAUGCCACAAGUUAUAACAUUGUAAUUUUUUUCAAACAUGUUGAUUAAAGUCUCAACCAUA